GUGGGGAAUAUUGGACAAUGGGCGGAAGCCUGAUCCAGCCAUGCCGCGUGUGUGAAGAAGGCCUUAUGGUUGUAAAGCACUUUAAGCGAGGAGGAGGCUACUCUAGUUAAUACCUAGAGAUAGUGGACGUUACUCGCAGAAUAAGCACCGGCUAACUCUGUGCCAGCAGCCGCGGUAAUACAGAGGGUGCGAGCGUUAAUCGGAUUUACUGGGCGUAAAGCGUGCGUAGGCGGCUGAUUAAGUCGGAUGUGAAAUCCCUGAGCUUAACUUAGGAAUUGCAUUCGAUAUUGGUCAGCUAGAGUAUGGGAGAGGAUGGUAGAAUUCCAGGUGUAGCGGUGAAAUGCGUAGAGAUCUGGAGGAAUACCGAUGGCGAAGGCAGCCAUCUGGCCUAAUACUGACGCUGAGGUACGAAAGCAUGGGGAGCAAACAGGAUUAGAUACCCUUGUAGUCC
Molecule: ribosomal RNA, 451 nt
Filed under: uncultured bacterium
Lineage: Bacteria
Description: partial 16S ribosomal RNA
Rfam family: Bacterial small subunit ribosomal RNA
Source: RNAcentral